UGCAUUGAAGCAUCCCUGGAUAUACUUGGCUGGGUUGAUCUCUUGACCAAUCAAGAGUCAGUUGGGGGUAGCAAUAAUGUACCCCCAAUAGGUAUAGGAGGCUUUCUUUUCAAGCCAGCUAGAGCACAAAUUUGGCGGGAAGAGGGCAGAAGAGAUUGAGCUUUUGAAGAAGAAGGUUGUCUUCCCCCGUGUCAGUUUGAGUCAAAGUACAACUCAACCUCGCUAUAGAGGAUGUUUGCAUCUACACUGUAGGCCUAAUUACCAGAGUAGAGUAACCUAGAGAUAUUGAGAGUAGUGGGCGCGAGGCUGUUUUUCGUAGAAUAAAACACCUGAACUACU
Molecule: long non-coding RNA, 339 nt
Organism: Lytechinus variegatus (green sea urchin)
Lineage: Eukaryota; Metazoa; Echinodermata; Echinoidea; Temnopleuroida; Toxopneustidae
Exons: 3
Source: RefSeq, a predicted model, not a curated record